GCCAAAGGAACGCGGUGGCGCGCGCCUGUAGUCCCAGCUACUCAGGAGGCUGAGGCCGGAGGAUCGCUUGAGUCCAGGAGUUCUGGGCUGUCGUGCGCUAUGCCGAUCGGGUGUCCGCACUAAGUUCGGCAUCAAUAUGGUGACCUCCCGGGAGCGGGGUACCACCAGGUUGCCUAAGGAGGGGUGAACCGGCCCAGGUCGGAAACGGAGCAGGUCAAAUAAGUUUUUAAAAAAGAUAUCUUGAAUUAAUAGAGGGAAAGUGCAGCAUUUAAAAAAAAAAAGCUUU
Molecule: unclassified non-coding RNA, 286 nt
Organism: Oryctolagus cuniculus (rabbit)
Lineage: Eukaryota; Metazoa; Chordata; Mammalia; Lagomorpha; Leporidae
Rfam family: Metazoan signal recognition particle RNA
About the family: The signal recognition particle (SRP) is a universally conserved ribonucleoprotein.
Source: Ensembl